UUUCCGUAGGUGAACCUGCGGAAGGAUCAUUAUUGAAUAAACCUGAUGUGGUUGUAGCUGGCCCUUUCGGGCGCAUGUGCACACCCGUCGUCUUUAUCUUCCCACCUGUGCACCUUUUGUAGACCUGGAUUUAACACUUUCCGAGGCAACUCGGUCGGGAGAAAUGCUGUCAGCUUUCCUUGAAUGUCCAGGCCUAUGUUUUCAUAUACCCCAAAGAAUGUAACAGAAUGUAUUAUUGGGCCUUGUGCCUAUGAACUAUAUACAACUUUCAGCAACGGAUCUCUUGGCUCUC
This 292-nucleotide unclassified non-coding RNA is filed under the name plant metagenome. Its description in RNAcentral is "partial contains small subunit ribosomal RNA, internal transcribed spacer 1, and 5.8S ribosomal RNA". The record is from RNAcentral.